CGGCGGACGGGUGAGUAAUGCCUAGGAAUCUGCCUGGUAGUGGGGGGACAACGUUUCGAAAGGAACGCUAAUACCGCAUACGUCCUACGGGAGAAAGCAGGGGACCUUCGGGCCUUGCGCUAUCAGAUGAGCCUAGGUCGGAUUAGCUAGUUGGUGAGGUAAUGGCUCACCAAGGCGACGAUCCGUAACUGGUCUGAGAGGAUGAUCAGUCACACUGGAACUGAGACACGGUCCAGACUCCUACGGGAGGCAGCAGCG
This 258-nucleotide ribosomal RNA is filed under the name uncultured Pseudomonas sp. Its description in RNAcentral is "partial 16S ribosomal RNA". It matches the Rfam family "Bacterial small subunit ribosomal RNA", at positions 96 to 356 of the family's 1533-position model. The record is from RNAcentral. Lineage: Bacteria; Pseudomonadati; Pseudomonadota; Gammaproteobacteria; Pseudomonadales; Pseudomonadaceae.